CGCCGCAGCAAGCCUGAUCCGAAACGGGUCCUCCUCCGCCGGCGGGUCAAGCAGCUCCCUCACAGACUCCGCCGCCGCCGCGGCACGUCCGGGGCCAUCACCAUCAUCGGAAUCGUACCCUUCCCCUCCAUUCCCCGCCGCCCCAGCGCCCUCCUCUCCCGCCGCGGCGCCCUCCGUCUCAAGAAACGCCUGCACGAGCCCGGACAGGCACGCGGAGGCCUCAUGCUCGCUGCCGCUGCUCGCCGACCCGCCGUCCCCGCGGAGCCGCGCGCGGACGGCGUCGUCCAGGCGGAUGUAGACGGCCAUUUCGCCGGAGCGCGUGGGUUGAGGUGGGAAUUCGCUCGCGGCGAGGGGAGGAGGAAGGCGGCCGACCUGGUUUUUAUAGGGUGGUUGGCAACGAGGCGAGAUGGGAAGGGUUUAUUCCCUUGGAUUAGUGGGGGUACUUAGGUUAGGAGCAACGAAUUUGAGCAAGUUAAACCAUGGAAUAUGCGAUAUGCCUUCCUGAUAGCACAUUGCCAAC
This 520-nucleotide long non-coding RNA is filed under the name Oryza brachyantha (malo sina). RNAcentral describes it as "long non-coding RNA (OBRA_LNC000300)". The record is from RNAcentral. Lineage: Eukaryota; Viridiplantae; Streptophyta; Magnoliopsida; Poales; Poaceae.